GUGCCAGCCGCCGCGGUAAUACGGAGGAUGCAAGCGUUAUCCGGAUUUAUUGGGUUUAAAGGGUGCGUAGGCUGUGCGCCAAGUCAGUGGUGAAAGCCCGGCGCUUAACGCUGGAACUGCCAUUGAUACUGGCGUGCUGGAAUACGGAUGCCGUGGGAGGAAUGAGUAGUGUAGCGGUGAAAUGCAUAGAUAUUACUCAGAACACCGAUUGCGAAGGCAUCUCACGAAUCCGUCAUUGACGCUGAGGCACGAAAGCGUGGGGAUCAAACAGGAUUAGAUACCCUGGGUAGUCCACGCAGUAAACGAUGAUAACUAACCGUCGGCGAUAGACAGUCGGUGGCCAAGCGAAAGCGAUAAGUUAUCCACCUGGGGAGUACGUUCGCAAGAAUGAAACUCAAAGGAAUUGACGGGGGCCCGCACAAGCGGAGGAACAUGUGGUUUAAUUCGAUGAUACGCGAGGAACCUUACCCGGGCUCGAACGGCAAGUGAACGAUACAGAGAUGUUGAGGCCCUUCGGGGCACUUGUCGAGGUGCUGCAUGGUUGUCGUCAGCUCGUGUCGUGAGAUGUUGGCUUAAGUGCCAUAACGAGCGCAACCCUUGUCACUAGUUACCAGCAUGUAAAGAUGGGGACUCUAGUGAGACUGCCACCGCAAGGUGAGAGGAAGGCGGGGAUGACGUCAAAUCAGCACGGCCCUUACGUCCGGGGCGACACACGUGUUACAAUGGUGACUACAGAGGGAUGCCACCCAGCGAUGGGGAGCGGAUCUCGAAAAGUCAUCUCAGUUCGGAUUGGAGUCUGCAACUCGACUCCAUGAAGCUGGAUUCGCUAGUAAUCGCGCAUCAGCCAUGGCGCGGUGAAUACGUUCCCGGGCCUUGUACACACCGCCCGU
Molecule: ribosomal RNA, 890 nt
Filed under: uncultured equine intestinal bacterium YT7
Lineage: Bacteria
Description: bacterial SSU rRNA
Rfam family: Bacterial small subunit ribosomal RNA
Source: RNAcentral